AACGAACGCUGGCGGCAUGCCUAACACAUGCAAGUCGAACGAGACCUUCGGGUCUAGUGGCGCACGGGUGCGUAACGCGUGGGAACCUGCCCUUAGGUUCGGAAUAACUCCCCGAAAGGGGUGCUAAUACCGGAUAAUGUCUUCGGACCAAAGAUUUAUCGCCUUUGGAUGGGCCCGCGUUGGAUUAGCUAGUUGGUAGGGUAAAAGCCUACCAAGGCGACGAUCCAUAGCUGGUCUGAGAGGAUGAUCAGCUACACUGGGACUGAGACACGGCCCAGACUCCUACGGGAGGCAGCAGUGGGGAAUAUUGGACAAUGGGCGAAAGCCUGAUCCAGCAAUGCCGCGUGAGUGAUGAAGGCCUUAGGGUUGUAAGCUCUUUUACCCGGGAUGAUAAUGACAGUACCGGGAGAAUAAGCUCCGGCUAACUCCGUA
This 432-nucleotide ribosomal RNA is filed under the name uncultured bacterium. RNAcentral's name for it is "partial 16S ribosomal RNA". It matches the Rfam family "Bacterial small subunit ribosomal RNA", at positions 29 to 507 of the family's 1533-position model. The record is from RNAcentral.